This 849-nucleotide long non-coding RNA is filed under the name Bos taurus (domestic cattle). Its description in RNAcentral is "long non-coding RNA NONBTAT020302". Lineage: Eukaryota; Metazoa; Chordata; Mammalia; Artiodactyla; Bovidae. The record is from RNAcentral.
CUGCUCAGAAAACUUAUUAUACCGUCCCAUUGACAUUUGAACAUGCCUUCACAGGGUUACAUGGUAAUUCUCUUCUUCCCAAAUUGGGCCCACUGGAAAUGUUAUUGGGAGAUAAUUAAAAAUGUAGCAGGUGAAAUAUUUAAAUAACAUGGAUCCAGAGAAGUAUGAAGCAUUAGAAUGAUACCUGGUAGUUUUCCUUUCUGUUGUUGCUGUUUGUUUGAUACUAAGUUUUAGAUGUGUUUGUUCUCCAAACGAGAAAAACAUUUUCCUAACCAUACAUAGAGUUUAUCUUUUUGACUAAGGAAGUGAAACAGAAAGACCAACGUUCAUUCUCUUGCGACUGACAGCUUCUUUCCUAAAACCGUUACCCUCGGAUACUUUCAUUAAAGUUGAUUUCCUUCUUCAGAAGGCAGCCUUUUUAUAAAAUGUUUUACAUUUUAUAAAGACAAAUGAGGUUUGUCUUCUUGAUUUUAAGUAAUUUAGGGAUCACAGCAUUUAAAUAAAAUAGUUCAGGUUUGUUUAUUUUCAGAUAUUACUGUAUUGUUGUACCAGCCAUUUAAAUCCUAAGCAAGUAGUUAAACUCAUUCUCUCUAAAGUAGUGACUGUUUAACACAGUAGCUUAUAUGGCCUUCCUGCCAAGUGGAUCAGUCUAAGUGUAAGGAAAUCAUCUACCCUUUUUUUAAAGUAUUAUGAAAAUAUUUCAUGAAAAAAACAUAUUGUCAGUUAUAGUCUUAUUUGAGAAGUAUUGAGCAUUUCUAAAAUACCUUUUCUGUGAUGAUUUCUCUAAGAAUUUUAAAAAGUCCAGUGCGUCAGUGCCAGAAUGUUCCUCAUUUUUUUUAAACUGCCUGA